RNAcentral lists this ribosomal RNA (404 nucleotides) under Pseudomonas sp. RNAcentral describes it as "partial 16S ribosomal RNA". It matches the Rfam family "Bacterial small subunit ribosomal RNA", at positions 355 to 776 of the family's 1533-position model. RNAcentral also lists the same sequence under 6 other names. The record is from RNAcentral. Lineage: Bacteria; Pseudomonadati; Pseudomonadota; Gammaproteobacteria; Pseudomonadales; Pseudomonadaceae.
UGGGGAAUAUUGGACAAUGGGCGAAAGCCUGAUCCAGCAAUGCCGCGUGAGUGAUGAAGGCCCUAGGGUUGUAAAGCUCUUUUACCCGGGAUGAUAAUGACAGUACCGGGAGAAUAAGCCCCGGCUAACUCCGUGCCAGCAGCCGCGGUAAUACGGAGGGGGCUAGCGUUGUUCGGAAUUACUGGGCGUAAAGCGCACGUAGGCGGCUUUGUAAGUUAGAGGUGAAAGCCUGGAGCUCAACUCCAGAAUUGCCUUUAAGACUGCAUCGCUUGAAUCCAGGAGAGGUGAGUGGAAUUCCGAGUGUAGAGGUGAAAUUCGUAGAUAUUCGGAAGAACACCAGUGGCGAAGGCGGCUCACUGGACUGGUAUUGACGCUGAGGUGCGAAAGCGUGGGGAGCAAACAGG